This 366-nucleotide ribosomal RNA is filed under the name uncultured organism. RNAcentral describes it as "bacterial SSU rRNA". It matches the Rfam family "Bacterial small subunit ribosomal RNA", at positions 526 to 896 of the family's 1533-position model. The record is from RNAcentral.
CGGAGGAUCCAAGCGUUAUCCGGAAUCAUUGGGUUUAAAGGGUCCGUAGGCGGUUUUAUAAGUCAGUGGUGAAAUCUGGUCGCUCAACGAUCAAACGGCCAUUGAUACUGUAGAACUUGAAUUACUUGGAAGUAACUAGAAUAUGUAGUGUAGCGGUGAAAUGCUUAGAGAUUACAUGGAAUACCAAUUGCGAAGGCAGGUUACUACAAGUGGAUUGACGCUGAUGGACGAAAGCGUGGGGAGCGAACAGGAUUAGAUACCCUGGUAGUCCACGCCGUAAACGAUGGAUACUAGCUGUUCGGAGCAAUCUGAGUGGCUAAGCGAAAGUGAUAAGUAUCCCACCUGGGGAGUACGAACGCAAGUUUG